RNAcentral lists this ribosomal RNA (305 nucleotides) under uncultured bacterium. RNAcentral describes it as "bacterial SSU rRNA". It matches the Rfam family "Bacterial small subunit ribosomal RNA", at positions 337 to 640 of the family's 1533-position model. The record is from RNAcentral.
GCCUACGGGGGGCAGCAGUGAGGAAUAUUGGUCAAUGGUCGGGAGACUGAACCAGCCAAGCCGCGUGAGGGAUGAAGGUACAGAGUAUCGUAAACCUCUUUUGUCAGGGAACAAAGGCGGGGACGUGUCCCCGGAUGAGUGUACCUGAAGAAAGAGCAUCGGCUAACUCCGUGCCAGCAGCCGCGGUAAUACGGAGGAUGCGAGCGUUAUCCGGAUUUAUUGGGUUUAAAGGGUGCGCAGGCGGUCUGUUAAGUCAGCGGUCAAAGCCCGGGGCUCAACCCCGGCCCGCCGUUGAAACUGGCAGG